AACCGCGAACACGUUUCCAAACAAGCGUCCGCGUCGCGGCGAUGGGGAUCGGGGAUCCCCCCCUCUCCCCCGCCCGGCGCGGGCAACACAAAACUUUCCGGCGCGGAAUGCGCCAAGGACUACUCGAACGGAUCGUCCGCGCCCUCGCGGGGCGGCUUCCGCCUCGCGGGCGCGGUUCGUCUGAAAAAACGUUAACCUUAACGACUCUCGGCAACGGAUAUCUAGGCUCUCGCAUCGAUGAAGAACGUAGCGAAAUGCGAUACUUGGUGUGAAUUGCAGAAUCCCGUGAACCAUCGAGUUUUUGAACGCAAGUUGCGCCCGAAGCCAUUAGGCCGAGGGCACGCUUGCCUGGGCGUCACGCAUCGUCGCCACCCCCAUCCCGCAUCGCGGGGAGGGGCGGCGUAGUUUGGCCCCCCGUGUAAAGCGGCCGGCCUAAAUGCGAGUCCCCUGCUCCCGGGACGUCACGACUUGUGGUGGUAUUUGAGAAUCUCCUCUCAACUCGAUCGGAGUCGCGGACGACACCGGGGCGACGGGGGCUCAACCGAUUGACCCGCGAGCCUCUCUCCAAGCGAGUUAGGCCCUCGACCAUGACCCCAGGUCAAGCGGGGCUA
RNAcentral lists this ribosomal RNA (611 nucleotides) under Oldenlandia viarum. RNAcentral's name for it is "eukaryotic LSU rRNA". The stretch from base 203 to 358 matches the Rfam family "5.8S ribosomal RNA". Lineage: Eukaryota; Viridiplantae; Streptophyta; Magnoliopsida; Gentianales; Rubiaceae. The record is from RNAcentral.